GCUUUUGCGCCAUGGGAUGGGGUCGCGUCCUAUCAGCUUGUUGGUGGGGUGUUGGCCUACCAAGGCUUCGACGGGUAGCCGGCCUAAGAGGGCGACCGGCCACAUUGGGACUGAGAUACGGCCCAGACUCCUACGGGAGGCAGCAGUGGGGAAUAUUGCACAAUGGGGGGAACCCUGAUGCAGCGACGCCGCGUGCGGGAUGGAGGCCUUCGGGUCGUGAACCGCUUUUACAGGGGAGCAAGCUUUCGGGUGAGUUAACUUUGUGAAUAAGCACCGGCUAACUACGUGCCAGCAGCCGCGGUAAUACGUAGGGUGCAAGCGUUGUCCGGAUUUAUUGGGCGUAAAGGGCUCGUAGGCGGUUCGUCGCGUCUGGUGUGAAAGCCCGCUGCUUAACGGCGGGUUUGCGUUGGAUACGGGCGGGCUUGAGUGCAGUAGGGGGGACUGGAAUUCCCGGUGUAA
This 459-nucleotide ribosomal RNA is filed under the name uncultured Parascardovia sp. RNAcentral describes it as "bacterial SSU rRNA". It matches the Rfam family "Bacterial small subunit ribosomal RNA", at positions 206 to 678 of the family's 1533-position model. Lineage: Bacteria; Bacillati; Actinomycetota; Actinomycetes; Bifidobacteriales; Bifidobacteriaceae. The record is from RNAcentral.